UACGAAGGUGGCAAGCGUUGUUCGGAUUUACUGGGUGUACAGGGCGCGUAGGCGGUUGGGUAAGCCCUCCGUGAAAUCUCCGGGCCUAACCCGGAAAGUGCGGAGGGGACUGCUCGGCUAGAGGAUGGGAGAGGAGCGCGGAAUUCCCGGUGUAGCGGUGAAAUGCGUAGAGAUCGGGAGGAAGGCCGGUGGCGAAGGCGGCGCUCUGGAACAUUUCUGACGCUGAGGCUCGAAAGCGUGGGGAGCAAACAGG
This 253-nucleotide ribosomal RNA is filed under the name uncultured bacterium. RNAcentral's name for it is "partial 16S ribosomal RNA". It matches the Rfam family "Bacterial small subunit ribosomal RNA", at positions 524 to 776 of the family's 1533-position model. The record is from RNAcentral.